CUUGUGAUUGCUUCUCUUGUUUCAUCAGUCCAUCACACCACCUGUGUGGUUUUGUGGCAUCAACAUCUUGGCCGUGCUUCUUUUCAUAGUUUAUCUUAAUUUUCUUAUUUGUCUUUAAUUCCUAAUAAUGUUAUUACAUAUGAUAUUUGUCAUUGAUCAAAACAAACACGUAUUCAAUUUUUAUUAAAUCAAAAUAAUGCAAGUACUCUUUUUUCUUUAAUAUAUACAUGUGAUAUGUGGGGGCGAUACCCAACUGCUUCUUUAUCAGGUGCUCAUUAUUUUUUAACUAUCGUUAAUGACUUUAGUCAUACUACUUGAGUUUUUCUAUUGAAACACAAGUUUGAUGUUAUCAUUAUUUUACUCAUUUUCAUGCUAUGGUUCGCAC
Molecule: long non-coding RNA, 385 nt
Filed under: Elaeis guineensis (African oil palm)
Lineage: Eukaryota; Viridiplantae; Streptophyta; Magnoliopsida; Arecales; Arecaceae
Description: long non-coding RNA (EGUI_LNC024770)
Source: RNAcentral